Molecule: ribosomal RNA, 465 nt
Filed under: uncultured bacterium
Lineage: Bacteria
Description: partial 16S ribosomal RNA
Rfam family: Bacterial small subunit ribosomal RNA
Source: RNAcentral
GACGAACGCUGGCGGCGUGCUUAACACAUGCCAGUCGAACGGAAAGGCCCUGCUUGCAGGGUACUCGAGUGGCGAACGGGUGGGUAACACGUGGGUGAUCUGCCCUGCACUUCGGGAUAAGCCUGGGAAACUGGGUCUAAUACCGGCUAGGAGCCAUUUUUAGUGUGAUGGUUGGAAAGUUUUUUCGGUGUUGGAUGAGCGCGCGGCCUAUCAGCUUGCUGGUGGGGUUAUGGGCUACCAAGGCGGCGACGGGUAGCCGGCCUGAGAGGGUGGACGGCCACAUUGGGUCUGAGAGACGGCCCAGGCACCGACGGGAGGCAGCAGGGGGGAAUAUUGCACGAUGGGCGCAAGCCUGAUGCAGCGACGCCGCGGGGGGGAUGACGGCCUUCGGGUUGUAAACUCCUUGCGCUAGGAACGAAGCUUUUUGUGACGGUACCUAGAUAAGAAGCACCGGCUAACUACGUG